UACGGAAGGCAGCAGGGGGAAUAUUGCACAAUGGGCGCAAGCCUGAUGCAGCCAUGCCGCGUGUAUGAAGAAGGCCUUCGGGUUGUAAAGUACUUUCAGUCGUGAGGAAGGUGUUAAGGUUAAUAACCUUAGCAAUUGACGUUAGCGACAGAAGAAGCACCGGCUAACUCCGUGCCAGCAGCCGCGGUAAUACGGAGGGUGCGAGCGUUAAUCGGAAUUACUGGGCGUAAAGGGCACGCAGGCGGUUAAUUAAGUUGGAUGUGAAAUCCCCGGGCUUAACCUGGGAAUGGCAUUCAAGACUGGUUAGCUAGAGUCUUGUAGAGGGGGUAGAAUUCCAUGUGUAGCGGUGAAAUGCGUAGAGAUGUGGAGGAAUACCGGUGGCGAAGGCGGCCCCUGGGACAAAGACUGACGCUCAUGUGCGAAAGCGUGGGGA
RNAcentral lists this ribosomal RNA (433 nucleotides) under uncultured bacterium. RNAcentral's name for it is "bacterial SSU rRNA". It matches the Rfam family "Bacterial small subunit ribosomal RNA", at positions 340 to 767 of the family's 1533-position model. The record is from RNAcentral.